This is a long non-coding RNA of Nicotiana tabacum (common tobacco), 900 nucleotides long. RefSeq lists it as uncharacterized. The record is from RefSeq and is a predicted model, not a curated record. Lineage: Eukaryota; Viridiplantae; Streptophyta; Magnoliopsida; Solanales; Solanaceae.
CUAUCUUUCAAGGUUAUAAUGGUUCUUGGUAUGUGGAUGCAGCAGCGGACCGAAUUUCCAAAUUGGCAGAGCCAAUUUUGCUGCACAUCUUGUCUUUCUUUCUUGCCAAAGGUGCCGCUCAAUGUAUGCUCAUAUUACUUGUGUAAAUACUCCGUACAUCUGAUGUGAAAUUGAAAAUAGCCGGAGUAUGCAAGGGAACUCUGUUUUUUCACAUAAAGUUUGGUCCUUUCCCCCUUUUUCUCUUCCUUCAACGGUUAAACCUACACAUACUCUCAUCUGCCCAUUAAAGCUACAAAAUUCAACCCGUGGGACAAAAGGUUUCCUUUUUCCACGUUGCCUACUCUUCUCAUUAUGCCCCCACGAAAAGUUUGCUUCUUUUUAAGCUGUGCAAGAUUGCUCAACAACACACAGAAAUUUUUUCAUUAAAAUGAAUUUUGACGAGAACAAGUCCUUGUGCAAAAGCUUAAAUGUAAGAGUGCUUCCAUAUUUCCACUUCUACGGAGGAGCUGAUGGCUUGUUGGAUUCCUUUUCUUGUUCUCUUGCAAAGGUAGGACAUGAACACCAUAUAUGUGAUAUUUCAUUUAUCAUUACCAUUAUAACCUACUACAAUGUAAUCCUCUCGACUAUCCAUUCUUCCUCUCUCUGUGGACACUAGGUCCAAGGGAAAAGAAAGAAAUGAAUAAAGGGAUAGAGAGGGGUGGUCGGAAAGAAGUAGGCUGACCGAAUAGAAAAGCAUAUAAUAGGAUGGUGCAAUCGUUGUAAUUUUAUUUUCAUUUUGUAUGCUAUCUUUUUCCACUAACUGUGUUGUUCCCAUGACAAGAACACGCAAAAAGCAAAUUAAUGUACUCUUUUGGUUGGGUUGUGAAGACGUGUUCAAAAAUAUUAUGAAGCUAUUGACAA